UUUCCCUAAAAAGGACAAGCCGGCCCAUUGGCUUUAGUCAACGGCCGCGGUAUCCUAACCGUGCGAAGGUAGCGCAAUCACUUGUCUUCUAAAUAAAGACUAGUAUGAAAGGCAUCACGAGGAUUAAACUGUCUCCUCCCUCUAAUCAGUGAACCUAAUCUCCCCGUGAAGAAGCGGGGAUAAUCCUAUAAGACGAGAAGACCCUAUGGAGCUUUAAACAGUACCACACGUGCAACCUAACCCUACUACCAAGGUACCCCACCCCAUACGCACGCUGAUUAUAUGUUUUUGGUUGGGGUGACCGCGGAGAAUAAACUAUCCUCCAUGAUGAAUGGGACUUUCCCUAAGAAUCAAGCCACAACUUUACCCAUCAAUAAAUUGACAUUCAUUGACCCAAUAUU
This 401-nucleotide ribosomal RNA is filed under the name uncultured bacterium. Its description in RNAcentral is "partial 16S ribosomal RNA". It matches the Rfam family "Bacterial large subunit ribosomal RNA", at positions 1888 to 2427 of the family's 2925-position model. The record is from RNAcentral.